This 100-nucleotide ribosomal RNA is filed under the name uncultured bacterium. Its description in RNAcentral is "partial 16S ribosomal RNA". It matches the Rfam family "Bacterial small subunit ribosomal RNA", at positions 235 to 334 of the family's 1533-position model. The record is from RNAcentral.
GUCCGAUUAGCUUGUUGGUGGGGUAACGGCCUACCAAGGCUACGAUCGGUAGCCGGCCUGAGAGGGUGUCCGGCCACACUGGGACUGAGAUACGGCCCAG